RNAcentral lists this ribosomal RNA (468 nucleotides) under uncultured bacterium. RNAcentral's name for it is "partial 16S ribosomal RNA". It matches the Rfam family "Bacterial small subunit ribosomal RNA", at positions 28 to 507 of the family's 1533-position model. The record is from RNAcentral.
GACGAACGCUGGCGGCGUGCUUAACACAUGCAAGUCGAACGGAAAGGCCCUGCUUUUGUGGGGUGCUCGAGUGGCGAACGGGUGAGUAACACGUGAGUAACCUGCCCUUGACUUUGGGAUAACUUCAGGAAACUGGGGCUAAUACCGGAUAGGAGCUCCUGCUGCAUGGUGGGGGUUGGAAAGUUUCGGCGGUUGGGGAUGGACUCGCGGCUUAUCAGCUUGUUGGUGGGGUAGUGGCUUACCAAGGCUUUGACGGGUAGCCGGCCUGAGAGGGUGACCGGCCACAUUGGGACUGAGAUACGGCCCAGACUCCUACGGGAGGCAGCAGUGGGGAAUAUUGCACAAUGGGCGGAAGCCUGAUGCAGCAACGCCGCGUGCGGGAUGACGGCCUUCGGGUUGUAAACCGCUUUCGCCUGUGACGAAGCGUGAGUGACGGUAAUGGGCAAAGAAGCACCGGCUAAUUACGUG